AUAUUGCGCAAUGGGGGAAACCCUGACGCAGCAACGCCGCGUGAGUGAGGAAGGUCUUCGGAUUGUAAAACUCUUUUAUUUGGGAAAAAUGACCUAAUGGCUAAUAUCCAUUAGGAGUGAUGGUACCAAAGGAAUAAGCACCGGCUAACUUCGUGCCAGCAGCCGCGGUAAUACGAAGGGUGCAAGCGUUGUUCGGAAUCAUUGGGCGUAAAGCGAGCGCAGGCGGAUUGGUAAGUCAGAUGUGAAAUCUCGAAGCUCAACUUCGAAACUGCGUCUGAAACUACUAGUCUAGAAUGUCGGAGGGGAUAGGGGAAUUUCACGUGUAGGGGUAAAAUCCGUAGAGAUGUGAAGGAACACCGGAGGCGAAGGCGCCUAUCUGGACGACUAUUGACGCUGAGGAUCGAAAGCGUGGGGAGCAAACAGG
This 424-nucleotide ribosomal RNA is filed under the name uncultured bacterium. Its description in RNAcentral is "bacterial SSU rRNA". It matches the Rfam family "Bacterial small subunit ribosomal RNA", at positions 361 to 776 of the family's 1533-position model. The record is from RNAcentral.